UACGGAGGAUGCAAGCGUUAUCCGGAUUCACUGGGUUUAAAGGGUGCGUAGGUGGGUCUGUAAGUCAGCGGUGAAAUCUCCAAGCUUAACUUGGAACUGCCGUUGAUACUAUAGACCUUGAAUGCUGUGGAGGUGAGCGGAAUAUGUCAUGUAGCGGUGAAAUGCUUAGAUAUGACAUAGAACACCAAUUGCGAAGGCAGCUCACUACCCAGAUAUUGACACUGAGGCACGAAAGCGUGGGGAUCAAACAGG
Molecule: ribosomal RNA, 252 nt
Filed under: uncultured bacterium
Lineage: Bacteria
Description: partial 16S ribosomal RNA
Rfam family: Bacterial small subunit ribosomal RNA
Source: RNAcentral